CCUGACAGUUUCUCCUGCACUCAGGAGACUGUAGGACAUUUUCCUAACUGCAGAGGAGAGUCCCCAGUUAUCCAAGGAGGAUUGUGAGCAGUGGGCUGGUCUCCCUGGCUUCAAGAGCAGGGUUGAUGAUAGGAUCUGUCAGAACGGUUCUACUGACAAAACCAUAUGAAGAAUGAGAAAGAGUUCCACAGAUGCUGAGCCAGGAUGCACUAAGCGUAAGAAGAUGGAAAGCAAUGAUGCUGGUGCACUAUAAUGUGUACAAAAUCAGAGAAAAUUGGAAUAUAAAUAUAAAAUAUGGUCUUUGUAAGUUGCCCAGGCUGGCCUCAAACUUGCAAUCCUCCUGCAUCAGCCUCCAGAGUAGCGGGAUUGUAGGUGUGCACCCCUAUGCCUGACCUGUGGGCAGUAGAAAUAGAAGCCUACUCCUCACCAUCUUAAGAAACAGCCUUGGAAAACUCCAGGCAGCCUACACAGUAGGCCAAGAAGAUUGAAGGGCACAUCAAUGACAUCUGAUAAGGGUUAUUUCUGCCGGAAUAAAGAGCGGCCUCCCAAUAAGCACAGUGAAUAUUCAUGGAAGUUACCAGAGGCUAGAAGGAGAAGAAGAAGAAGAAGAAGAAGAAGAAGAAGAAGAAGAAGAAGAAGAAGAAGAAGAAGAAGAACCUACAACAAAAUUUUAAAACGUGUCCAUCAGGGUCCAACUUUAAGAUAGAGGAAAUGCACCAUGGCAAAUUGUCAGUCUAUAUGUUAUUUAAAAUAUAACUUUAAACUGGGCAUGAUGUUGCAUAGUUGUAAUCUCAGCACUCUGGGAGGCUGAGGCAGAAAGAUAGCAAAUUUGAACCCAGCCUGGACAAAUUGGUUAUUUAGCAAUGCCCUUUCUUAAAGUAAAAAAAAAAAAAAAAAAAUUAAA
Molecule: long non-coding RNA, 904 nt
Organism: Cavia porcellus (domestic guinea pig)
Lineage: Eukaryota; Metazoa; Chordata; Mammalia; Rodentia; Caviidae
Exons: 7
Source: RefSeq, a predicted model, not a curated record